UAAGGAAUAUUGGACAAUGGGCGAAAGCCUGAUCCAGCCAUGCCGCGUGAGUGAUGAAGGCCUUAGGGUUGUAAAGCUCUUUUAGAUGGGAAGAUAAUGACUGUACCAUCAGAAUAAGCCCCGGCUAAAUUCGUGCCAGCAGCCGCGGUAAUACGAAUGGGGCAAGCGUUGUUCGGAAUCACUGGGCGUAAAGCGUGUGUAGGCGGUCUAUCAAGUCAGAAGUGAAAUCCCAGGGCUUAACCCUGGAAUUGCUUUUGAAACUGAUAGGCUGGAGUCCCGGAGAGGUUAGCAGAAUUCCGAGUGUAGAGGUGAAAUUCGCAGAUAUUCGGAGGAAUACCAGUGGCGUAAGCGGCUAACUGGACGGGCACUGACGCUGAGACACGAAAGCGUGGGGAUCAAA
Molecule: ribosomal RNA, 400 nt
Filed under: uncultured bacterium
Lineage: Bacteria
Description: bacterial SSU rRNA
Rfam family: Bacterial small subunit ribosomal RNA
Source: RNAcentral